GGUUUCUACGGAAGAUGAGUAAAGCUUGAAAAGAGGGAAGGAGGCACUAGACUACUAGAAGGAGAUACGUAAUGCAAUUUGCUCGCUUCUCUGAUUUGAACAGAGAUGGAGUCAUGCCAUGAGACUCCAAACACACUCCCGAGUGUACAUGAAAAAAUAAGAAAAAUAAAGAUUAGGAGCCAAACUAAUUGUAAGGAAAAUGAACGGAAAGAAAUACGUGCCACAUGAAUAUUCGAAUAUUAAAUUUUAAUGAAACUGCGAAAAUAAAUCAGCAUAUACCUAUUAGGAACAAACAUUUGGGAAUAAAUAUUUUGGGAUGUAAACAGCUUUUGUCUCAUAUAACAGGCAACUCAAUCCAAAU
This 361-nucleotide long non-coding RNA is filed under the name Capsicum annuum. RNAcentral's name for it is "long non-coding RNA (CANN_LNC022228)". The record is from RNAcentral. Lineage: Eukaryota; Viridiplantae; Streptophyta; Magnoliopsida; Solanales; Solanaceae.